CUAUGGGCGAUUUUGAAGAUCUUGGCCUAGCAAGAUGGCAGCGGGUUUUAAAAUGGGAUUCCCACGAAGUUAACACUUUUUCAGUGCAGAAGUAUGAACUUCCCAAGAAGAGGUUCUUGUGGGUGACUGAUAGAAUCAGUUCUCUUCUUGCUGACCUGCCAGUGUCUGUCCUGAGCCUUCUGAUGUCUCCCUGGAGAAAUGGAUGACCAGCCAUUCAGAGAAACAAAUGUACCGAGACAACUUUAAGAAAAGAACAUGUAUCUCCUUUUCCUACAAUAAAAAUGUGUACCAACUCUGAAACUACUUGUAU
RNAcentral lists this long non-coding RNA (310 nucleotides) under Monodelphis domestica (gray short-tailed opossum). RNAcentral's name for it is "lncRNA (ENSMODG00000031716.2)". The record is from RNAcentral. Lineage: Eukaryota; Metazoa; Chordata; Mammalia; Didelphimorphia; Didelphidae.